RNAcentral lists this ribosomal RNA (253 nucleotides) under uncultured bacterium. Its description in RNAcentral is "partial 16S ribosomal RNA". It matches the Rfam family "Bacterial small subunit ribosomal RNA", at positions 524 to 776 of the family's 1533-position model. The record is from RNAcentral.
UACGGAGGGUGCAAGCGUUAUCCGGCUUUACUGGGUUUAAAGGGUGUGUAGUCGGGCUUUUAAGUCAGUGGUGAAAUCUCCGGGCUCAACCCGGAAACUGCCAUUGAUACUAUUAGUCUUGAAUACUGUUGAGGUGGGCGGAAUAUGUCAUGUAGCGGUGAAAUGCAUAGAUAUGACAUAGAACACCAAUUGCGAAGGCAGCUCACUAAGCAGUCAUUGACGCUGAGGCACGAAAGCGUGGGGAUCAAACAGG